AGAUCUCAAGUAUACCUUCAGAGAAAUGCCAGCAAAAACUGUAGUCAUUUGGGAAGGAAUAAGCCUGGAAGAAAAAGAUACAACGAACUAGCACAACGAGGCGUAAAACGCUGGAGGAGAAGUCAGUAGCAAGCAGCUAAGACAACAUGGUACAUGUGGCUAGAAGCCCACCAACUGCUAACAACCAGCUGGAGGGUAAGUCAAAAGCUAUGAGAGCCCAGAAGGAGAACAAUUAUUUAGACCUGGAGGGGCCAGUUGGGAAAGUCUUUGAAGGGUCUUCAGAAAAUGGACCAAAAGAAAAGAGGAAAAGUCAUUCUACUGAGAGGUGUUUGUGUAAUCAAAGCAACCGAGGCCUAAGAACUCACAAAAGAUUAGAAAAGGGUAAAGGAUGCCUGGAAAGCCGGACUAGGAAAAGGCUGUGAAGGGCCCUGAAGGUCACAUGUCACAUGUUGCCUGCAGCAUGCAGAAUCAAAACAUGAUAAAUCAUGUCUUGAAUCAUGACAUAUGAAGCAUGACACACGAAUCAUGACAUGUGACAUGUUGAAUGUCACAUGUCACAUGCCGUAGGCAGCCAUCAAGAGUAUUUGAAAGGAAAGUGUAUAAUCAGGCCUGUGCUUUAGUAAGACAAUUUGUAUAGUGUUCAGUGUGGAUUAAAAUGGAGAACACAGGUAUCAGUUUGACAUCGACAGUACAGGAAACCAUUUGGGUUUCUUGUACACCAAAAUAUUAAAACAUACACGCAAACACACCAACACAUUAAAAUCUUGAGAGAGAGGGCCAAAAGUUCUUUGUCGCUGGACUAAAAGUGGAAAUAAAUGUUUACAACCUCUAAGGUGGAUUAAGCUAAGAAUUUGGAGUUGUUGGCAAAACUGCCACAUAAAAUUUCAGACAUGCAAAGAAAUGCAAUCGUAGACUUAUGCACAUACUUCCACCAGAGAAGGGAAUCUGGGCAGAGUGUUCAAAGCUUAAGAAAUUCCUUUGCUCUUCACCAAGAAGAGCCAACAGAGUUUUCGUUGAAUCAACUCUUAUAUUCCCUUAAAAAGAAGUUGAUAGUGUUGUGGAAAACUCACCCAUUGAAGUGACAACAAAAACAGCAACCCAGUAUGAGUUAACUGGUAUUAUGUUAAAGGGACAAGUAACUGCACUUUUGACACACAUCCUCUAAAAGGUAGGGUGGGAGUGUUUCAAAGAACCAAGUCUGAGUAAUAGAAAAGCAUAUACCACUUCCCCAUAUACACGUUCGAGCAUGGGGGAGCAGGAAGCUGGGUAAUUGAAUGCAGUUGUGCACACUGGCAAUUUUCCCGCCACAUACCAUUUCUUCGGUGUCUCUCCCAAAAUUCUCCUCCUAAGUGGCACAUCCCUUUAUUGAUCAUCUUUCCCCAUACUGAUCAUCCUCAGCAAUCAUGUGAGUUAUUAGUCUAAGUAUUUGUUUUUCUCAAAUAUGGUCUUUUAACUACUCCCUAAAUAUUUUAUAUAUACAUAGUUUGUUUUCCCAAUUUAACUACAAGCAUUUAAAAAAUGGGAAUAUUUGUCUAUAUUUCUGUAAUUUUUCAUCAUGCCUUAUAUGGUAUAUAAAGAUCAACAGCAAUAAAACAACAACAGUAAUAAUAGCUAAGACCUUUUGAAUACUAACUGUAUGUUCAGCAUUAUUUCAACAGCUUUACAGGUAUUAACUGAUUUAAUUAUUACAACAACGGCAUGAAGUAGAUACUACUGUUGUCAUCAGUUUAUACUUGAGGAAACUGAGUUAUGGGAUGGUUAAUUAUCUUUUCCAUGGUCACAGAGCCAUUAAAUGUAUGAUCUCAGACAGUCUGACACCUGAGCUGUGCUUCAAUGUACCUGUUAAGAUAUUCUUUUUCUUGAAUUCAAAUUCUGAAAGGAAAACAGAGUUGAAAAAUCAGAGGCCCUAGCUAAUCAAGUAAAGUUUUGCUUUAAAAACAGCAAAAAACAAUCUUCCUAAGGUCUCUGCAACAUUUUGUGGCCCAUCACAGAACAGGGUCAUCUUUGACUUCUACACCAAGGAAAAUGUGGCUUUUGGAUUCUUGGACAGAAUCUACUGCAUGGCCUCUAUCUUCAUAUGCCCUUGCUGGGAUCCGAAGAUAAUAUGAAUAAAGUAGAUAUAGUGGAAGUGAGUAGAAGAAACAUCCUGAACAAAAAACACUUGUUCCACUUGGCCAGCUACCUAUAUUCUCAUCAAGGGAGAGUUGGCCACAGGUAAUACCACAUCAAAGUGCAAACUCUGGAUCAACUUGCACUUUUACUUAUUCCUACCUUUGACACACACAUAGCAUAACAUGUAUAAUUCUUAUUCUGGGCAUAGUUGGUGGUAGGAAGGUUUUUAUACAUUUGAGAUUCUAUUUGGUGAGCAUAUGGUAACAACACAAGAAAUGUGCCAUCAGACUACUGUUCAUCAGCUUACGAAGAUGGCUACAACAAUUCUUAUGAUUCUUGUGCACAUGUUUCUUUGCCAUGCAACUUUGUCACCCCUUCCCAUCAAGACAUAGAGUCCAUUUCUUUUUCCCUUUAAUUUGGCCCUGUGACUUGCCUAAAACCAACAGAAGGCUGCAGAAGGGACAUCAUAUGACUUCAGGGUCUCAGCACCAAAAGGCCUUUCAGCUUCUGCUUUCAGGCUGUCAUUGCUGUGAGAUAGGAAGCCUGGGCCAGCCUCCAUGAGAAUGAGAGACCACACCUGGUCAACAAGGAGAGCCAACCUUCAGCCAUGUGAGUGAGACCAUCCAGCCUCAGUUAAGCUGCCAGAUGACUGAAGCCAGAUAAGUGGCCCCAGGCAAGACCAGCAAAACAGCCAACUGGCUGAGCCCAGCCCAAAUUGCUAAGGCAUAGCAAUUUAGGACAAGAUAAAUUCUUGUGUUUUAAAUCAGGAUUUGUUAUGGAGAAAUGGAUAACUGAUAAAGCUCCAAAUCCUAACUGAGACAAGAAAUUCAACACCUUUUAUAUUACCAUGAUACAAACAUUAUUUUCUUAAUAGUCAUCAUUAAAGCUUUGUAUGUUUAACUGCCCUUCCACUACUACAACAGCUACUGUGCUGGUGCAUUCACAUUCAUGCAUACACAUAAAGACACAUUCUCCAGUUUCCCAACUAGUUACUCAUAUACUCUUUUGGGCUUUCAUUUCUCAAUAUUGCUAUAUUUCCAGCUCAGUCCGUUUAACUAGCUUCAUUCCCAUAUAUCCAGCUCUUCCUGUCUAUGAAGAGUAGCUUACCAUUACUUACUAUGUGCCAGGAACUGUUUCUCACUAUCACUUUAUCAGGCAGAUAGUUCUCUAUCAAUAACUACUGAACAGAUGACUUCAUCUAGUCAACCAUGACAUUAGAAUCAAUCGCAAGAUAGAGAUAGGAAUCAAAGAGAAGAGAUAAAUAUGUUACCCUUAUUACUUAUUUUUAAAAUAUUUAUAUUGGAAAAUACGAUUGCGACACCUACUAACCCACACAAACACAAGAACAUUUGGGCAACCACAGGCCUCCUCCAAUGCAGAUUGGUGUGUGAAAAACUUACAGCAUGGAGGAUUAAAAAAUGUAUAUUCUCUGAAGGCAGAUAUGCCCUUCCAGAUACAAGAAAAUGAAUGAACCAUUAAUGCUGAGUUCUUUCUCCCAAGCUGACCAAUCAGUUGUGACGAUUCCUCUCCCCUAGGAAUAGUCACUCUUGAGAAGUCACAAUUGUAACAUCGAUGGAGGUUUCCUAUAGAAACAUAAAGACUGGGGAUUAUGUGUUUCCCCUAUAACAAAUUUUGUCCUUAUCUUGUGACUUUCCAUUAUGUUUCCAGCCUCAACAUCUUCCCUAAGCCUCAGAAUUAUAUGUACACCUGUCUAUUCAGUCUCUGCUUGGAAGCCUAAUGGGUAUUUCGAACUCAAUAUGUCGAAGAGGAUACUCCUCAUUUUUUUUUUUAACUAUCUCUUCACUCCUCUUUAGUUUGCUAGGGUUGCCAUAACAAAAUAAGGCUGGGAAACUUAAACAGCAGAAUUUUAUCCUCUCACAGUUCUAGAGGCUGGAAGUCCAAGAUCAAGGAGCCAGCAGUGGUUUCUCCUGGUAUCUCUCUCCUUGGAUAACUUCUCACUAUGUCCUCACAUGGCCUUUUCUUUGCACACACAUAUCUCUGGUGUCUCUUCCUUCUUAUAAGGAAUCAACCAUAUUGAAUUAGAGACCCACUCUUAUGAUCUCAUUUAACCUUAAUUACCUCCUUAAAGGCCCUAUCUCCAAAUAUAGUCACAUUAGAGGUUAGGGCUUCAGUACAGGAAUUUUAGGGGUAGGGCACAAUUCAGUUCCUAACAACCCCUCUCACAAUCUUUCCUAUUUUAGGAAAUGGCACCACCACUGAUUAAUUGCUUAGGCUAAAUUUUAGGAAUCAUCUAAGAUUCCUCUUCCCCUCAUACCCCACAUCCAAUCCAUUAGGAAGUUAUGUGUGUUUUACCAAUUUCAUAUCCCACCACCUCCACUAUGGACUCCAGGUUUUGCCAUCUUGUUCUGCCUGCUCUACUGUAAUAGUCUCCUAAAUGGUUAUACUGGUUCCUUUCCUGCCCUGCUACAGUCCAUUUCUCACACAUCCACCAGAGUCAAUCAGAUACCAUUGAAAGUAAAUCAGAUACCAUUGCUUCCCUAAUUUGCAAUCUCUAGUGACUUCUCAUUAUGCUUAGAAUAAAACUCAACUCCAUUUUACAACCCACAUUCAUCUACCCUUGCCCACCUCACCAUCCUUACUACAUAUCACUCUUCCCCAUCAUUCACUCAACUCCAGUCACUUUGGCUGCCUUGACUUUCUUCAAGCAUCCAAAGCUCACUUUGGUGUCACAACCAUUGCAUGUGUUCGUCCUUGUCCAUCCACCUGGAACUCUCUGGAUGUGUCUCCCCCCUUUUCAUUUCACUGAUAUCUCUGCUCAAAUGUAACUUUCUUAAUAGAGCUUUCCUAACUCUAUUUUAAACACACCUCAUGACUUUCAACUCCUUUACCUUCCUUUAUUUACUUUCAAAAUAUUUACAACUGCUUGAAAUUACAUUGCAUUUUUAUUUGUUUAUUGUCUAGUCUUCUCCACUAGGUUGUAAACUUCCUGAGACUUUUUGUUUCUUGCUGUACCUGUAGCACUGAGAAGGGUCCUUGAAACAAAACAGACCCUCAACACAUAUGCAUUGAAUGAAAAUAAUUUAUGCAAUCUAAAUCAUUCUGAUUUGGAAAUUUGAUCAUGCCACUUCCCAUCUUAAGCUCUCCAAUGGCUUCUCAUUCCUCUGUGGAUAGACUUGAAGCAUCCAAUAUGGUGUACGAGACCUUCCUAAUUUUCAGUUUUACCUCUAGCAACUCCCACCAUGCAGCUUGAGCUCCAGUCCUCCCUAACCUUUAUGAAGACUAGAACUGUGCUGCUUCAUCUUGUAAUCCCUGGAGUCUAGCACAAUACCUGACACAAAAUGGUUACAAAGCAGCUGGCAUUAAGUGGCAGGAAUUAUGCUAUAAAACAGAGAGUGUAUAGAGUCUUGAUUUUACAUUUCACUAGCUGGUUACUUUAUUGACAAAAUGGUGAUAAUAAAAUCAGCCCUAGCUAUUUCUCACAGGUGAUUUAAAAAUCAAAUUUAUAUAAAAAUAUUUAGAGAGCACCUACUAUGUGCUGGGCACUGUCCUAUGUGUUGAGGGUACAUUAAUGAGUGAAAUAGACAAUGAUUUCUGCCUUCAUGGAAUUUAUGUUCUAGUAGGUAAAAGACUACACACACACACACACACACACACACACACACACACAGGUAAUAAGUGCAAUAGAACUAAUUCAGGGAAGGAGAAUGAGGAGGGCCUGGUGCAGUGCUUAUGCACAUUUUGUACUUGGUGGUCAGGAAAGGCCUCAUAGAGAUGAUGACAUUUGAACAGAGACCCAAAGGGGUUGAGGGAAUAAACCAUGUAGACAUUUGGGGAAAGAAUAUUCCAGUCAGAGGGAACAAUAAAUGCAAAAACCCUGAGGCAAGAACAUGUCUAUAGUGUUCAAGACCAUAUAUUCUGGGCCAUAAAAUAAAUCUCAAUAAAUUUAAAAGAAUUCACACAAUAUAAAGUGUGCCCUCAGAUCACAACAGAAUUAAAUGAAGCUCAAUUUAAUAAAUAAAAAUAAAUAACAGAAAGCAUCUCUGGAUAAUCCUCAAAUAUUUGGAAACUAAAUAACACACCUCUGAAUACCUCAUGAAUCACAGAAUAAAUCAAAAGAGAAUGAAUGGAAUGAAAUUGAAAACAGAAAUUAUUGAAAUUUGUAAGAUACAUCUAAAUUUAUGAAACUCAAACACCCAUAUCAGAAAAGAAGAAAGGUUUGAAAUUAACAACCUCAGCUUCUGCUUUAAGAAAUUAGAAAAAGAAGAGAAAAUAAAACCCGACCUAAGGAGUAGAAGGAAAAUGAUAAAGAUCAGAGUGGGAAACAAUGAAAUAGAAAAUAGAAAAUGAUAGAGAAAAUUAAUAAAAUUAAAAACUUGUCCUUGAGAAAAUCAAAACUGAUAAACCUUUCAUAAAACAGAUCAGAAAAAGAGAAAGAGAAAACACAAGCUACCCAUAUUAGGAAUGUGAGAAGUGACAGUCCGGAUUUGACCAAUAAUAAAAGGAAAAUAAAGAAAUAUUAUGAACAACUUUAUGCCAAUAAACUUGACAACUUUGAUGAAAAUGUACACAUAUCUUGAGUAGUAUAAGCUAUCGAUACAGUUUUGACCCACGUUCCCAUCCAAAUCUCAAGUUCAACUGUAAUCUCCAAUGUUGGAGGGAGGGCCUGGUGGGAGGUGACUGGAUCAUGGAGGUGGGUCCUUCAUGAGUGGUUUAGCACCAUCCUUUUAGUGCUGUUCUUGUGACAGUGAGUGAGUUUUCAUGAGAUCUCGUUGUUUAAAAGUGUGUAGCACCUCCCAUUUCAUCCUUUCUUGCUGCUCUGGCCAUGUGAUCUGCCUGCUCCCUCUUCGCCUUCCACCGUGAUUCUGUUUCCUCAGGCCUCCCCGGAAGCUGAGCAGAUGCCAGCACCAUAAUUCCAGUACAGCCUAUCAAACUGUGAGCCAAUUAAAACUUUUAUUUAUUUUAUUUAUUUUAAAAAAAUUUUAAUUUAUUUAUAAAUUACCCAGUCUCAGGUAUUUCUUUAUAGCAAUGGGAGAACUGACUAAUACAGCUAUCAUAAUGCAUUCAAGAAGAAACAGAAGACACUAAAUAGCCCUGCAUCUAUUAAGGAAAUUAAGUUUAUUUUUAAAAAUUCAAUUUAUAAAGAAGUAUAUGAAUGAAAAUACUUUCCACGAAGUAAAUCCUAGGCCUGAAUUAUUUCAUCUGUGAAUGCUAACAAACACUUAAGCAUGAUAUAAUACUCAUUCUAUGUGAACUCUUCUAAGAAGUUGAAGAGGAGUGAAUACUUCCCAACUCAUUCCACAAGGCUAGCAUUACUCUGAUACCAAAAUCAAAGACAUAAGUAAUGAAAACCAUGGACCAAUUUCCCUUGUGAGCACAGACGAAAAAUCCUUAGCAAAAUUUUAGCAAGUUGAAUGUGACAAUACCUAAAAGAAGACCAAGUAGAGUUUAUCCCAAGAGUGCAGUGUUGGAGGAAAAAUGGGGACAUUGUGGCUAGGCUGGAAUGAGCCAGGGAAGUGAAAUGAGAUUUGAGAACUAAAGAGAACUAGAUCAUGUGGGCCAGAGGAUUUGUUCCUGAUCAUCAUGACCGUGAACUCAAACAAUUAAUACUAGUAGUGUGAAUUUUAGGCCUCUCUACUGGAGAACAGAGAAAAUUGAGGGGUGGUGGGGACUGGUAAAUACCACAGAGAGAAUUGUCAGCCUCAUUGCAAGGCCUUGAUUUUUAAUCUGAGUGAGAUAUAGGAAAACCAUUGAAGAGUUUUGAGCAGAGGAGUGAUAUCAUCAUUUUACUGCAUUUUAGUGAUCUAUUUUAUUGAGAACAUAUUUUAGUGGAGUGAGACUGGAAUCAGGAAGACCAAAUAAUAAUAUGUAAGUCAAAGUAUUCAGUAAAUUAUAAAUGAUUCACAUACCAAUAAUUACUCAAAUAUUGCAAUAACUUCAUCAUUCUCUGUCAUAGUUUAGUGCACCAUUUCUGACAAGCUGCUUUAUAUAUACUUACUUUUUUAUAGAUAACAGUCUUUUGAUAAAAUACAUUUUGCUAGAGAGGACUCUCAGAAGAAUGUGGGGAACUUUGCUUGGUUAUAGGUUGAUCAUUGAAGCCCAGUGGAAUUUUGCCCAACUCUUUUAUUAUACAUCCCUCAGUUUUAUUGUCAGAAAUAAAAUGUUAUGCUGAAUGGUAAGAGCCUAAAAUAAUACAACAUUCCUUUAUACAAUGUACUUGGUCCCAACUUGAUUGUGAUGUCAGAAAUAAACAAUAUUUAAUCAUUUUCCAAGGAGCUGGUCUCCCUUGAACCAGCCCCUUGCAGUCAUUGUUCUCCUGACUGAUGUUAUCAGAGAUCCUAUGCAGGAUCUAAUUCCUACUCAUGCCAGAGCAAGCCAGGAGAAGCUCUACCAACUCCUGGGAGCUACAAAGCGAUAGGUUCCCAGAGUCUAAAACUAUUGGAAAUGAUGUUUGUCUAAAAUGGCCAGAGACAACUUUUAUAAGCUUCCAGGAAGUGGAGAACCAGAAAAACUGAGAAAAAAAAAAAAAAAGCCAAAACACACAAGGUCAAGGGAGCUGAGAAUCAAAGACUGUGAUGACAGGCAAGGCUGUGGAUAUGGAGUGCACCCAAGAGUUCUCUUUCAUAAGGGAUUGAUGAUGUGCUUGGGGCGGGCUGGCCAUUUGCACUAAGUGGUUCAAAAAACGUACAAAGUCCAACCCAUGCCUAAGUGAGUGUUGUAGCUCAUAGCGAUUUAAUUUGUUUUGCCACACUUGAAAGUGCAAUACGAUAGUGAGAGUAUUAAGUCCCUUUGAAGGCGGGCAGGAAGAUUUUUUUGAAGGAAGUAAACACCAUGUAAAGAAUUGUCAGCCUCAUCCACAUUUCAAGUCAAUUCUGCUGACAUGAAAAUGUUUUUCACAGGUCGAGUGUGCGGUUUCCAUUUAGCACACAGGCCUUCCACCCGGGAAAGUCCAGCUUGGCAGUGGCAUUUCCAUCCAUCUCACCAAGUUACCUAUCCACUGCUGUGUGCUUUCAGCGUGAUGCUUCUACAGCUGAGCAUUAUUUAGAAAAUUAUGUAUGUUCAUCUGUACUGAAGCAAUAGUGACAGAUUAACUACCUGACACACGUCAUCUUGAAAUCUCAGGAGGAAAUUACUGCCUACAACACACACACACGACCAGCUUUUAGAGUUUUGAGGUUUCAAAAAGUUCUAUUAAAUGGCUUCGGAAUGUUUGAAAUGUACAAAACAUUUCCUAGGAAUUUUUAUAUCAAUGUUUUUCCUACAGAAAUGUCUGUGAACUAGAAUCGUUUUCUUCUAUUCUCUAUAUAUUCAUUUGGUAAACAUGAAACAUGUAUUCAAGUCUAUACUUGAUACUCAGCAUUCAGAUAUUUAUAACAAUGAAAAACUGAAGUCCCUGUGCUCAAGGACUUCGAUUUAGUGAGGGAUAGAAGUAUAUGCAAGUAGUUACAAUUCAAAAAGGCAAGCUGAUCAGAGAAAUACAAAUAAAGCACUAGGAGUUAAAGAGAAGGAGGUCACUAACUGCCAGGGUCAUUAGAGACCAACAGAGAAAAUUAUAUAUGAUCUGGAUCUUGAUGGACUAAAAGGAAUUUAUGAUGGGGGGAAGCAGAAAGAGUAACAUUUUAGGCAGAAAGAAUAAACCUGGAAGUAUAUAAUCAUGCUAAGACUUAUAUGCUGUAUUAGUCCGUUUUCAUGCUGCUGAUAAAGACAUACCAGAGACUGGGAAGAAAAGGAGGUUUAAUUGGACUUACAGUUCCACAUGGCUGGGAAGACUUCAGAAUCAUGGCAGGAAGUGAAAGGCACUUCUUACAUGGUGGCAGCAAGAGAAAAUGAGGAGGCAGCAAAAGCGGAAACCCCUGAUAAACUCAUCAGAUCUCAUGAGACUUAUUCACUAUCACGAGAAUAGCACAAGAAAGACCAGCUCCCAUGAUUCAGUUACCUCCCCCUAGGUCCACAACACAUGAGAAUUCUGGGAGAUACGAUUCAAGUUGAGAUUUGGGUGGGGACACAGCCAAAUCAUAUCACAGGCCAGAUUGAGGAAGUCUGCUUUUGAUAGUCUCAAUAUCAAGCACCUAGCUAGUGAUUAAUUUUGGCCUGUUCUUUGUGGGUAAAAAUGAUGAGAUAAGUUUAUGUUCAUGAAAUUGAUGGUGAUAAUAAUGAUUAAAAAUAGGAUCUUUCUGUGGAACUUGGCCAACAUGUCCAUGUGGCUGUGCUAACCAAUUAUUUACUAUUUUAUCAACCUGCUUCCAUUUUCCUAUUUCUAAACCCCUUCAGUAUACUUUGAGAAAGUACUAUCAUACAUCAUGACUGUUAGUAGAGCCUAGAAGAUCAAAGAUUUUCUCCUUUGACUAUUCUAAAUAUAACAGUUCUUCUGAAAUCAAUUCAUAUAUUCAACUUAAUUCCUGCCAAAAUUUCAGUGAUACACACACACACACACACACACACACACACGGCAAAAUUGUUCUAAAGUAAAUUCAGAAAAUAAUAGAGAUGAGAAAAUUACAAAAACUAGUGCAAAUACUAAAAUUUGCAGAUAUACUAACAGAUCUAACAUAUUACAACAUGUUAUAUAGCCUCUGAAAUAAAAACGAUUUGUUACUAGGCUAAAAAUAAAAUCUGCAGCCCAGAAGUAGAACAUAUUACAUAUAGCACUAUAGUUUCAUAAAGGAGAUGGCAUUGGUCAAUCAGAAACCUGAAGGUUUAGUCAGUAAGUGCUCUAUGAGGGAUCAGUUAGCAAUUUACAAAGAAAAAUUAAUUUAGAGCCUCAUCUCAUUUCAUAGGCCAAAAUAUAUUUUAGAUAAAGAAGUAAACAUUAAAAAUUAAACAACAGAAACCAGUAAAAAAAGUGAAAUAAAUAUUUAUCAAAUGUCUAGAUUCAAAAGCACUUAGCUUAGAAAUGAUAAAAGGCUUAAGAGAUAAAAAUAAGAUUGAGCCAUAUACAAAUUUAAAACUUUAAUAUCUAAACUCUAAAAAUCAUAAGACAAGUAUCAAAUUGUGAAAAUGGCUACAGAAAAUACUAAAAGCAUUAAUAACUUUAUUGUAUUAUGAGCUUGUAUUAAUGGACAAAAAAAUAAGAAAAAAGGCGGAAAUACAAAUAAAUACAAAAUUAACUACAAAGGGAAAUUAAAAAUAAUUAUGGUUUUUGAUUAUAUAACUAAUCAACAAACAUACAAAACCUAUAUUCAUUCUCAGUUGUAAUGGAAAUCCAAAAUAAAACAACAUUAAGACACAUUUUUUUUACUGGUAUAAAUAGUAUUUUUCUAAUUGAUAAUAUUCAAUGUAAAUGCAAAGAUGGUACAGUGUAGAGUUUCUGUUUGGAUAAUUGGGUGGUCAUUACUUUUAUCUUCUUGAUUUUAUUUUUUUAAAUGUCUUUAAUGGUGAUUUUUUUUACUUUUAUAAUUAAAAAAAUUAAAAGUGACAACAUAUAUGUAUAGUAAUUAAGAAAAAUAUCUUCUCGAAUUGGGGCGAAUUUGUAAUCCUAUACACUGGGCCAACUGGCAUCAGAACUUCCACGGACUGUUGUUAAAGAAUCUGCUCAAAAACAGUGAGAUUUUUCAGUGAAGAAGGCUUAUUUCCAUCUAUCAGGAUCUGCUGAGGCAGCAGAACAGAGAACUAUCUGUUGUCAAUCAGUUCAAAAUACUUAAUAACAAAAUAGGUGUUAUACAGCUAUCAUGAGUCAAAGGCAGAAUUUUUUAUAGAAAAGAACACACUAUAAUGAUUGAAACAUGCAUAUUCAGCAGAGAUUUACUCCACAGAAUUCUAGGCAGCAGGAUUAAAAAAAAAAACAGCAUUGCUAAAUUACUAAAAGCCUAGAGGUGAGUCGUGUGUGUGAUAAGUGCUUCAGAAAACGUUAUCAUCUAUUUUUCUUGUCUUUACAAAGAAACUCUCUGACUUAUGAUGGUUUGACUUAUGAUUUUUCAACUUUGCCAUGAGUUUAACGGGACAUAACCCCGUUGUAGAUUGAGGAGCAUCUGUACUUAUAAAACACCUCCACCUCUACACAAUUUGUUGUUGGUGGUAGUAGGGGCGGGGGCAUGUUAUGGGGGUGAUUCUUGACAGCUCACUAAUAUCUAUAUGAAGGGGUGGAUAGAAUGAUAAAUGGUAGGUAUGAUGUGCUGAUCGGACAAAGGGCCAAAAAGUUCAGUAGAGGAGUUGGGAAGAGAAGUGUCAUGAAAGGUGACAGAAAGACCCACAUGCUUAUUCCUUGGGCUAAAAACCAUUAAUGACUUUCCCUCUGUCCUCUCAGCUUACGUAAAACACAUAAGAUAAAAUCAAGGUCCCUCUUUUAAAAUUAUUUCGCUGAACUGUUGAGUCAGCAACACUGCGUGAAUUUGCAUCUCUACUUUUGCAAGAGCUAUUUAUUUACAGAGCACUGUCUUGUGAAGAUGUUUUGUGGGAUGUAUGACCAUCAAAUCACUGUAAUCCUGAUAAUAACUAGAGUCAGGAGUAUGAAAGUGGGAAGGUUGGCCCCUGGUUGUAUUCUGACUGCUCAAAUCAGUCCUGUAAAAUUGAAAUAAACCUACCUGAGCCAGCUCCUAUCCACCUGAUAGGAUACAAAGAAGACUCACUGGCCUGUGGGUUCUUACGUACAAGCUGCUGUUUUUCCCCUCUACCGAUCAUGGGAAUUUCCAGUUCAGGAGUUUUGUUGGCAUGCCGUCCUGGACAGAGUGAGAGCAGGAGGACCUGGCCACACACGUGCUUAUAUAUCGCUUUCCUUUCUCCAGUUAGAGGUUGGAAAGGUGCUUAUAGAAUCACAAAAAUAAAGAAUAAGAAUGAAACUAAUUUGAACUUGGUUGUAAGAGGGUUUGUCAUUUACUAUAUCCUUCCUGUGUCUAACUCAGAGUUAAAAGAAACCACAACAUUUCCCCCCAAAACUGAUGAAGACUAAAUAAAACACUAAACAUGAAAAAUAAUCAGAAAAAAUAAGAGUUCAUUAAGUGGCUUGAUACAAAAUAAAUAAAAAUUGAUAGUUUUCCUCUAUACUAGCAAUAACCAGUUAGAAAACAAAUACAGAAAUAUUUGUUUCUAUUCACCCACUCCUAUUCACCCCAAAAUAGGAGUGGGAGUAUUGAAAACCUGUAAGAAAAUUAUACUGAAAGUAAGUAGAAAGACAUUUUUAUAAAAUGAUCACUCCUCCCCCAAAUUAAUCAAUAUUUAAUUCAACUUAAGUCUGAUACGAAUGUUUCUGGUUUUUUCAAACAGACUGAAGUUGUAACAUUAAUGUAAAAAUUGGUAUGGGAGAUUGCCUGGAAACUUUUACAAAAAAUAAAAUUGAGAAAGGUAGAAUUGGGUACUUGCUAUGCAGCUCUUAAAACUGUCUGUAAAGGUACUGUGUUCAGUUAAUCAUGAUGUCACUAAAAGAAGAGUCAAAUCAAUAGCAUUCAGAAAAAGAUUCAUUUAACUAUGGAAACUGGAUAUAUAGCAAAAUUAACAUGUUCAAUUUAGUGGAGUAAAUUCAGACUAUUUCAUAAAUGAUGUUAAGAUUGUUGAUCCAUCUAGAAGAAAGCAAAAUUUAAUUUCUACCUCACAACUAAAUAAAAAGUUUCAACUGGGCUUGUGUGUGUGUGUGUGUGUGUGUGUGUGUGUGUGUGUUAAAAUUUGUUUUUUUCUUGUAUCUUGGCUUUUUAAGUAAGUCUAUAUAUAUCUAACUCCUUGUUUAAUGGAAUUUGUAUGUAACAAUAAAUUUUGAAUGCAACAAUUUAACUAUUUUUUUGAUGGACAUCUGGCAUGGUUCUAGUUUUUUAAGGACGCUUUCAUAAAAGUACAAUUACUGAAAUAAAAAAAACUGAGCAUUUAAAAUUUACUAGUUGUUGCUAUAUUCCUGGCACAAAAUUCUGGAAGAAAUUUCUCAUUUAUUUAUUAAGGGGUUAUUCUCAGUUGAUUCAUGGAUGUCUUAACUUGCUCACUACUGCGCUUGAUCAGGAUAACAAGCAUUAACUGGGCACUUUCUUUGCUCCUGACAGUAAGCAAAGAUCAGGAGCAGGAGGCAUAGGAAUGGUGGAGGGGUACAGUAGAAACUCCUUACCCUUAUGCUAUUUCAAAAAAAAGUAGGGAAAAGUGCAGAUUUAUAAGUACCAAAUUGGGUGAUAGUACCUAUUACAUGUGCUUUAAAAGAACCAGAGAUAAAAAAAGAUAAAAGAUUUUUACAAGAUAAAAUUUGGCUAUUUUCUACAACUGUAUUCCCCCAAAAUGAUUAUGACUCCAAAUCCACUUUGAAUAUAAUAUUUAGGGUGAUUAUUAUGAAUAUUAAUGUCCCUAAUAAUUAACUGGAUAAAAUAAAUUCUUCUGCACCAUAAGAAAAUUCAAAAUACAUGAAUGGUCCCAGGACAAAGCUAAUGAAAGGGAAGGAAGAAAUGUAACCAACACUUAUUUAUUAUGUACUUGUACUGUGUCCUAGGUGCUUUGAUUACAUUCUCUUCUAUUUUGUCCACCUCUGGCAUGACAUGGAAGGACAAUGUAUUGCCAGGAAUUCUCCAAAAUGAAGGACAGUUUUAGGGGCAGGAGAUUUUUUUUAAAAGAGCCAGCAUCUAUAGAGUUCCUGCUAUAUGCCAAAUACUGUGCCAGAACCUUGAAUCACACUGCUUCUGUUUCAUACAUGCUCAAUCCUCUAAAGUGAGCUCAAAGAUGCCUUCUAACCACAUGCCAAAGUAGGGAGUUCUAAGAAGAGGACGAAGUCCUCAGGCACACAGUCUUAAGGGUUGAAAGUUUUUAAGUGAGGAGUAGAAGUUAAAAGAAUGUGAAAAUGAACCUUGGCUGACAGAAGCCACCUCACCCAGAUAUGCCAAGGAGAUUACCCUCCCACCGGCACAACCACCACCUGCCCCGCCACUUCCCAACAGCCAAUGGCUGACUCAUGAACACGGAAGUCCAGUCUGCUUCAAAUCAUGAUAAGUCUGCUGUACUACUUAUGCUCCAGAGUCCCCUAUUGAUCAGGCCAAGGCUAGACUUCAUUAGAGGAUAUCCUCGUUUGGUAAUUUGCACUUUCCUAUGUCACUUCCCUUUUUCUGAUAUAGGUUUGGCCUGAAGAACACUUCCUCAAUAAGUCCCUUGUCCUCAGUUUCUGACUUAGGCUCUGCUUCUGGAUAACCCAACAUAAAAUGAAGAAAAUUUGAGUUCCUGGCCAUACUUCUGGUUAUCACACCUAAUGAUUUCUGAUCUUCACAAUGACUCUUCGAGGCAACAAAGUUCUGCAUCAAGCUGGAAAAUGAACACUUGCCCACUUUUCCCUGAAAUACAGCAGGGUCCUGGCUCCAUGGAAGCUCUGGUGAAAUCGUCUUCAAACAUCUUUUAGAAGGCUGAAUACUUUUCCAUUGAGAUACACAGGACCCUUUAUAAAACAGAUGAAAAUGGACUGCUUUGGUCAACGUGACACUUGGAGCCCCUAAAGCCAGGAUGGCCUCAUAAACCCCUCAGUGGUGAGGCUCAGUGGCAGUGCCUGGCUGCAGGCUCCCCAAGUCUGUGACACCCAGCAGGAGAGGGACAAUCUCCUGAGACGACACCUGAGAGAUGCAUGCCAGGAAGGUAGCAGGUGCCAUAUGAGCAGAUUUAUCUCUGAGCAUAUGCCCUGAUGGCUCCAAAAAGGCUGGUGGGGAGGCAACUUUGCAAGGACUUUGGGCUUUGUUUCAGGAAUGAAGACAAUUAACCACAGGAUUUGAAUAUUCUGUAAUUAAUGUAUUUUCUAACAUAAUCUAGUGAAGCCUGGGGAAUUUUUAGUUGCAUACCUCUUUACUCAACUAUGUCUUAGCAGUGGUAC
RNAcentral lists this long non-coding RNA (15820 nucleotides) under Homo sapiens (human). RNAcentral's name for it is "HSALNT0368973". Lineage: Eukaryota; Metazoa; Chordata; Mammalia; Primates; Hominidae. The record is from RNAcentral.